UAGGGGUUAGCAAACUCAAUAAUACCAUAAACAAGAUACUAUAAGUAACACACCAAAUAAUACCACACCCUAAACUCCGACUAACCUUCUACUCUAAUCUGCCUCCUUCAUAACUUCCUAUUCAGGGUCAUGUCCUCGGUAAGCUGAAGCUGCUCCAUAUCAUGUCUAAUCAUGUGAGGUGAUUAGGCGGGACAUGGAACAGUUACAGCUCACCGAGGACAUGACCCUAGAUAGGAAGGUAUGGAAGAUGCGAAUUACGGCAGAGGAUUAGGGCCAGUUCGGGUCGCUAGUGUAGGGAAUUAAUUGGUGGGGGUGUAUUCCUGUUAUGAUUCCGUAUUCAAUGUUCCGUGUUCCGUGUUCCAUGUUUAUUACGAAUAUGUGUGCUUUCCUCU
This 392-nucleotide long non-coding RNA is filed under the name Capsicum annuum. RNAcentral's name for it is "long non-coding RNA (CANN_LNC001699)". The record is from RNAcentral. Lineage: Eukaryota; Viridiplantae; Streptophyta; Magnoliopsida; Solanales; Solanaceae.